AGAAAAUGUAAAGUCUUGGAAGACAUGAUGCUUUCAGGACUGAUUGUGAUCCUGCAAGAAAACUGAGCUCAAACUGUGAUGCUUCAAUCAAAGCCUCAAGCUGGAGCCUACAGUGUUUACCUGCCUUUGUUCUCCAGUAGGUGGCGCUGCCAUUCCCUUAAAUACACAGAGUGAGUAAAGGGGCCAUGUAUUUCACCCUGUCAUCUCAAAGUGCCAAAGUGUCCUCUGGUUAUUUCCACUUCUCCAGUCAAUCCACUAUGAAUCUGUAAGUUGACUGCCUGUAUAACCCACAUGCUGUCACCUUAUAUUCUGCUCCUACACAUGAUUUUAAUGUUUAUUAUCUUGGCUUUCUUCCUGUUGAAGUUGAGCCCACCUAUGGCUGCAGCCUAAUCUAGAAAAUGAAAGUCAUCAAUCCUCCAUCAAGGGAGUUACACCUAGAAAUGUGCAUUACACAGAUGUAUGCUGGUGUCUUAGGCCAGCGGUGUGCACCCUUUUACCAACUCUGCCCUGAGCUCCCUGGUCAUCCAAUCCGUCUCCCUCCACACUGGUAUUCCAACUCCAUCAAAUUUGUUUCCCGUGACGACAGGCCUGACAUUUUGCCCUGCAUGUGUCCGAUCUAAAUGCCAGUUCGGCAGACCAGAAUAAGGAAGCCUGUGAAAUGAUCCUGGCAUUUGCAGCGCUGCUUCUCUCUGUGGUCUCUUUCAUACUUUGCUCAGUGAAAAGGAUAACACUGUUUCAACUGCAGGGUGUAAACCUGGAUCACAGCCAGAUGUUACAACCCCACAGCCCUCUCUCUCGGCGGGUUCACACCGUGACCUCGUCCCCCUGCUCCAGCUGGCAGUUUGGCAGCAGAUCUCCAGGCUUCUGCCGACUCAGAGCCCUCGGUGACCUGGGGAGAGCUGGACAUCCCGAGGAACGGGCGAACUGGGUGAACU
This is a long non-coding RNA of Epinephelus fuscoguttatus (brown-marbled grouper), 935 nucleotides long. RefSeq lists it as uncharacterized. NCBI's taxonomy places the organism in Eukaryota, Metazoa, Chordata, Actinopteri, Perciformes, Serranidae. The transcript has 3 exons. The record is from RefSeq and is a predicted model, not a curated record.